AAGAUACUCCCGCCGUCCAACAAAAGAUGUCUCAGCUUUGAAAUUUGAAUGCAUCUAUACACUCAGUCAUAUCUAGACACAUCCAAAUUUUGGCAAAUUUGAGAUAUCUUUUGUUGGACGGAGGAAUAGUUU
Molecule: non-coding RNA, 132 nt
Organism: Brachypodium distachyon (stiff brome)
Lineage: Eukaryota; Viridiplantae; Streptophyta; Magnoliopsida; Poales; Poaceae
Source: Rfam